Mesocricetus auratus (golden hamster) is the source of this 4237-nucleotide long non-coding RNA. RefSeq lists it as uncharacterized. Lineage: Eukaryota; Metazoa; Chordata; Mammalia; Rodentia; Cricetidae. The record is from RefSeq and is a predicted model, not a curated record. The transcript is spliced from 3 exons.
CCGCAGGAGUGUAGGAGUGAGGCUGGGAGGGGAGGAGAGCAGGCAGCCACUGGACUUCAGACACCCCUCUUCCUGGGGUCAGGGUUAGGGGCCUCCAUGGAUUUCUGGGUUCUGGUUUCUUAACUGCCGGACUUCGAUAGGGAACAUUGGGAUUGAAGAGGUUGGGGACAGUGUCCAUGAGUUGUAUCUGGUACCUCUACCCCCAUCUGUGAAAUGAUGGCGUGUUAUUCUAGAAAGUGUGCGGGUGAAAAGAAAAACACGGCAAGGGCCCGAGGAGAAGGAGGAUGAAUGCCCACACCUCCUGGGUUUGUUACUAUAAUGCACUUUGAUCUUUCCAGAAUCGAGUUUUUAGUUCCCAAGUUAUGCUCACAGACUGGGCAGAACUUGGGGUUGCAACAGUCUCCUGGCAAACCAUACCCACAAGAAAACCUCUGGAUGGUUCCUCCUUAUAUGUGGUGUUGGGAGCUCUCAGAAAAGAAUAAAAGAAAAAAAAGUUCCACCAUGAGGGUUGUCUGUGUGCAGGAUAGGGCGGGGCUCUCCUGGUGAGGGGUGGAGAGGUUUAAGUCAUUGUAAUGAAAGCUAAUGGUUUCAAACAUUUAGCCAUCCUGGGCCCCAGUCAGUAUCUAUGAAUCAAUGAAGCAGUUAUAGGAUUUGAUGGAUUUUUUUCCCCCAGGGAGUCUGGCUCCAUCAAGUUUAGAACAGUUUUGGUCUAGAAGGCAAAGCUGUGUUUAAAUCAGGGAGGAAACAGCUGUCACGAAUUUGCUAGCUUGCUCCAACCUAGCACAGCCUGCUAGGCUGCCUCAGGCUUCUCUUCUGGGAGUUGGUCUACAGGUUGCUGCUCUGUGUUGUGCUUCUGCUCUGCCUGCUCCCCUCUCCCUAACUGCUGCUUCUGCAUCCUCCCUCCUGCUGCCUCUGCCUGAGCUUGUCUGGUGUCAGGGGUCAGGGUGCCUUGCAUCCCCUGUGCACAGAACCCAGGGCACAGGCAAGUGUAGAUGCUUGUUAAUAAAUGUCUUCUGACUUAAUGCAUGGAAAGGGAGUGGAGGGUCGGAGCCGAGCAGCAAUAUUUCACCUGGUUGUUUUGCUGAAUGUCAGUCCAGAGUCAAAAGACAAAGUGCUUGUGAUUUUCCAUAUUUGGCUAGAUUUGUAAUCCAUGCAGAGAAAGAAAUGUUCGGACACGUGGGUGUAUUGGUACUAACACCUAUUCUAAUCACUCUAUCUUAGCAACAGACACGGGGCACAGGGGCCGCUUAAUCAGCCCUCUGGUGACUCAGCCAAGCAGCUUCUCUCUUCUGUUUUUUUGAAGAUGGAAGGCUGGGUGAAAUGGCAGUUCAUCUCUGUUUUAUCCCUCUCUACUGAGCUACCAAUUGUUACUUUAUUAUAUGAGAUUCAUAUUGUGGAACAUUUGUGAUCUGAGUCUUUUUAAGGAUAGUGUUCUAUAUCCCAAAGCUAUAAAAUCAGAAGCUUUGGUCUGGAGAGAUAGACCACUGAGUGGUAGAACAUUUACCCAGCACGCAGGAGACCCUACUUUCAACCCCCCAGUAACACACACAAACACACAUGCAUACACCUUAGCAUUCACUGAAGCAUGAGAUACCUCGUGCUUACCCUAUAGCAUUUAUUUAAUUCAAGAAGAAAACAAUCAUAACAACGGCUACUUCGUCUUUGAAACUACUAUAUACACAGUCUUCUUCACCCUUACCAAACCUGUAUGUACUAUACUGUAAGAUAAGGAUAGCUGUGGCCCAUUUUCAAUAUGAGGUGUGAUUACUGUUUAUCAGAGUAACAGGAGGGGCCCAGCUGACUGCUGGCGCCUGCUUAUCUCAGACAUUGAGAAGUAGAAAGUUUCAGGGUGUCUGUUAUUUAACUGAGCCCAAGAUGGGAAAGCGACUUGAGAAUUUAAAAAAAAAAUAGGAAAAAACAACAACAAUGACAACAAAACCUGUGUCAUUGUGGCACAUACCUUUUAUCUCAGCACUUGGAAGGCAAGAGACAAAUGGAUGUAUGCAAUUUCAAGACUAACCUAGGCUGCCUAAGUUUCAGGACAGCCAGAAGGAAUGCAUGCGGUGAGACCCCCAUCUCAAAAAUAAAAACAAAAAUCGCCAUUGUCUUCUAAUAGACCGGGUUUGUCUUGCGUUUGGCUUUUCUCUAUGUGUGCAUCCCUUUUUGGUAGAACUGCAUACUAAAAACUGGUUUGUUUCCACUAACCUUCUAAAUUUGUUAUUGACUUUCCCCAAAAUAUAUUACCAUUUCAAACAUAACGCCAGUGGAUUGGUUAAUUAACUAUAUUCAGGGUCAGGAAAGUUGAUGGCUGAGUUGGGAUUUGAGCCCAGGUCUAGCUCACUCGAGACCGUUGUCCUUGUUACUCAGUGAUGCUUCCUGAACACAAAAGUGUCCUGUCCCUUUUAGUUUGAUGGCUUGCUUUCGGCUUGUUUUCUCCUCUGCCUUUUGACAUCUAAGGAUGAACCUCUAUGGCUAGGCUGAUGUGACAGCCAGGUAAAAUGCACAAAGACAGAGACAAGAGUUAAGAGUUACAACAGAUACAAUUUUAUUUAAUUAAAACUUACACUUUAGAGCAGGACUCCUUCGACUUUUUCCACUCAUAACUCCCUUUAGGUCAAGAAACUCACAUAAUUCGGACAUGCAGAAAUAGGGUUUCUUUUGUGUCUUGGUUCUGUUUCAUCCCUCCAAUUAUCCAGUGGCUUCAGAGGAAGAGGAACGGCUCUGAGGUAACUGGCCAGUUUCCUCAGGUUCCUGCAGAGUCAGUGGUCAUGGCUACUUUUCUCAUUCAGUGCAGUUAGCAAGAGGAAGCACCUUCUCCUUAGUCGUUUCUGCCCAGCACAGGUACAGCUUAUUGUCUUCUACUUAACUAACUAAUUAAUUUAACAAUAAUUAUUAAUCAGCCUGCUUAUUAUUAGCUCCGGAAGUAGAAAUACAGCUGCUGCGUCACAAAUGUCGUUUGUAUAUUUUCCCCCAUACUUUUUUUGUGUUUUGUUUUCCUUUGUUGCCGAGUGGCAGUUUCAAGAGGUAGCUUCUCUGUGUCAGGUGUUUUCUUACAGCCGGCAGCUGGAGAGUGCACCUGAAAAUGGAGUCACAUUAACCAACAUGGAUUCAAAGCUGAGCUGGAAUGGGGGCGUUAGAUUGCUGAAGCCUGAGCCUGAGGUUUUGAACUCUUGAGUAUGCCUCAUGUGUGCACAGAGGCCAGCCUCCCACAAUGGAGACCUAGGCUGCUGAUGACUGGGACACUGGUCCUGGGUGGAUCUGAGGGAGGAAGACUGACAGCCACUGCUGCACACAGAUCCCAAAGCCAUCAGAACCCGGAAGAAUUACUCAUGAGUGGCCCGUUUCAGACAGCUGGCACCGGCGACUGUUGGAACAGGUGGAGGCCUGCCUCGUUUCCAUCCAUCAACCACUGUUACACUGGGUUAUAGAAGAAGGAAGGGAGACAAGUCGGGUGAUUAGUAAAGUCCUUCUGUAGGGGAAAGGACCAAUUCUAUCCAUGGAAUCAGCAGCUUUACAUGGGUGGUCAUGUUUCGGGUUAUUCCUCCAGUUUUAGGGAUUAAUAGCCAAAGGUAAAAUGAGAUUAAUCAACUGGCCACACUGGCAUGUUCUUUAGCAUUUAGUUUGUUAGGACUUAAAUAUGGGUAUGUCUAAUUCCUCAUAGUUAGAGGAAGGGGAUGUGAAGAAUGAUAGUCUAGCUCCUCAUAGUUGGAGAUGUAAGAAAUUAUAGUUAGCUGUUUCAUCUAUCUAUCUAUCUAUCUAUCUAUCUAUCUAUCUAUCCAACUAUCUAUCAUCUAUCUGUCUAUCUAUCUAUCUAUCUAUCUAUCUAUCUAUCUAUCUAUCAUCUCCCCCCCUCUCAUUUAUCUGCUAUUUUAUUUGUCUCCUAUGCUCAGACAGCAUCCUCAGGUCACUGUCCUGGGCAGUUUUUGUCAACUUGACACAAGCUAGAGUUAAGUUGGGAAAAGGACCCUUGACUGAGAAACCGUCUCCAUCAGAUUGCUUGUAGGUAAGUCUGUAGGAUAUUUUCUUGACUAAUGAUUGACAUAGGAGGUGGUCAUGCCAUCCCUGGGCAUGUGGUCCUGGGUAGUGUAAGAAAACAAGCUGAGCAAGCCAUGAGGAGCAAGUCAGUGAGCAGCACUCCUCCACAUCCUCUGUUUCAGUCCCUUCCUUGAAUUCCUGCCUUGGCUUCCCUUUAAGAUGAACUGUAACCUGAAAGCCAAAUAAACCUCUUCUUCUCCAA